Molecule: long non-coding RNA, 4520 nt
Organism: Scleropages formosus (Asian bonytongue)
Lineage: Eukaryota; Metazoa; Chordata; Actinopteri; Osteoglossiformes; Osteoglossidae
Exons: 3
Source: RefSeq, a predicted model, not a curated record
CUCUCUCUCUCUCUCUCUCAAAGAAGUUGUUCCUGUUUGGCCGAAGCCGGGGGGGAGGGGAGAUGAGCAGCCGAGCUCCUCAGGCGCAGACAAAGGUUCCUCCGCGAGGAAGGGGAAGGGGCUCCACGGCGGAGGGAGCCGAACCGAGCCGAUCCGAGUCGAGCUGCGCCCACCCCCCACCUUCAGGUUUGAAGAGCGCAAUGGUGCAUUCACGAAAUCGCAUUUGUGCACUGCGCAGUGGAAACGAGCGGGGAGAUGAAUGGCGCCAAGAAGAGCGCAGGGCUGUGUGUAGAAAGGGGUGACCAGCUGGAGGUGCUGCAGGGACCGCAGACUUGCAGGUGUGCCAACUCCCGCAGCUAAGAAGACAUGUUAAAAUGUUCCACUUAGGCUUUUAAUUAAUGAAGCCACUAAGUGAGUUGCCCACCAGAGUGGAAACACCCCUCCCCGUCCUUCCCGUGUGAGGACUGGGCAGCCCCGGUGUAGAUGGAACCUCAAGAAUUGCCCCAGGUCUUGGCCAAAGACAGGGCAGUUUCUCCAGGUCCUGAGCGUUACCUAAAGAGCAAAGCACUGCCUGAUUUUUUUUUUUGGACUAACCUGCUGAGAUUAAUGCCCUCACCUGAAGUUCAGAUCAGAUGUUGCAUACAUAAUUAUUCUAUGCAAUGCUAGAUCAUUUAAGCACUUUUUGUGUGUCUGUGUUUUUGUUGUGGAAGUGAGUGCACAAUACAGAAAUGUCAGCAAGUAAUUUUCUGCAAUGGGAGAAAGUUUUGUGUGAACUUCACCUGUUAAUUUACUCGUGUUACACAUAUGUUUCUGAAUUAGACAUGUACUGUACACUUAAUGUCUUGGAUGAUUUCAUUGGCUUUCAGGAUUAUGCACUUUCCUUUGAAGUGCUGUGGUAAAUGGUGCACCCUCCUUGGUACCUCAGUGCGGUGAGUGCUACCAUGAAGUCAGACCAUGUCUCUCACAUGCCCUCCAGCUUCUGAUUCCUUCUCAUGAAGCAUUCUGUGUAUGAUCUCUAUUAGCUGAUCACUCUGUCCCCACCUCCACUGGUUACAAGGGUGCAUACGUGAGUGUUAUACAGAAUGAGGGCUUUGCUGGAAAGGUAGGAUGAUGGGCUUAUAAUGUUGACACUUGAUUUCUGCACAGAUUCUCUGGUUGUGAGACCAGUUCACCCUCAUGCGUUUCCUGUUGACCGUAGUUGAAUCCAUCUCAGUGGAUUCGCCUUCAUUUAGUACAGCAGAACACUGUAUAUUUUUUGCUCACAUUUCAACCAGUAGUAGUGUUUGGGCAUAUAACACUUAUAAAAUAUUAAAAAGGACCACUCAGUGAAUUUUUGCUGUUGGUACUUAAUAUUGUAUUUUCAUGAGUUUGGAAGCUCCAAGUGUUCCCUUUCCAUGGAGGUCUGCAUGGAGGCCAGUGUCCAUCAUGCAGGGUACAGUCUGGAUGCAUCUACCCACAAGCAAGAUGCACACUCACUCAGUCAAUAUGUUUCACAAAUAAGAACUAUACAAGGUCACGUUACCCUUGAAAUUCAAGACACGUUAAGUGCAGAGGAUCUGAGGAGAUUCUGCUACAUUUUUAGCUGAGGAUUCCUGGCUUGUAAAACCCACAGUCUGUUUAUUUGGUGUUUGUUUGAAUAGUCCGGACAUGGGAAUUAAUGGUUCAUGUAAUGAGGGGGAGGUUCCUAUAUCCUUGCAUGAACUGCAAAUUAUUUCAAGCCAUUGCAACAACAUUCCACAGGGGAGGCAGGAAAUGGAAUAAUCAAACAGGCACACAAACAAACCAUGGCAAAAGUCACAUCACACUGCAGGUAAUUUCCGAAAGACCUGACGCUUUUUAAACCAGGCCUGAUGGAGGACAGGAAACAUACCUGAAUAGGAGUGGCAUUCCUUGUGAUGACAUUGUAUGGAUAAUGUAGAAUCUUUUUUUUUUUUUUUAGCUGAACUGUACUGCUUUCCUGUCAUUGAGGAGACAGAAAAUUGACUUACAGGUAGAACUCCACUUUAGAGAAGUAUCGAUGUAGAAAAGAAUAAGGUGCCAUGAAGGACAAGAAGCAAAACAUUAGGGAAUUUUUAAUAUACGCAUCAUAUAACACACGGUAGGUGGAAUAUUAAAUUAUUAAAAUGACCAGGUAUUGCUAUUUGUGAAUAGACUAAAAAUGAAAGGCAAUGUGAGAAUGUCUUUCGUCUUUGAGUAGACAGAAUGUAUGAUGGGGGGCUGGGGGCAGUGUGUAUUUCUGUCUGCCGUUUGCUUGGCUGCAUACUAAACGUACGGGAGAAAGCUCAGGGGAUUAAUGCGUUUGUUUGCUAUCUAAUCCUUUCCCUGAACCCACACAACCACAAUAUACCCAAAAAGAGUUUGAUAGAAGUGAAAAAAUGAGAGAAGGAUGGAAGAGAAAAACAACAUUGACAAUAAGUAAAUGUUCCUUUCUACAGGAAACAUCUUUUUUAACUGUUUUAUUCACAUUCAUGCUGUGUUCUGAUAGAAAAAGGGGGAGAAGAGACAACUUUUCUCUGGUAAGAAAGCACAUUUCUGUACUGAUGACAGCGAUGUCACUUUUGCUCUGACAUCCAUGAGAGCAUGAUUUUAGAUGUGCAUCAUUUAAUUUCAUACUUCAUUUGCGGUAUACGGCAACCAUAGUAACCAUGUCUUUGUGUAUUUGAGUUUGUGUGCAAACAAAGACAUUUGAAGUUGUAUUUUGAGCCGUUUUAUAUUUCAUUAAAUACACAAUACACUUAGUGCAUUAUGAAGCAUUCUUUUUCCAGGACAGUUGUUUCCUGGUAUUAUAAACCUUGAUAUAUAGUGACACCUGGUAGCAGAGAAAUUUUAAAAAAAAAAAAAAAAAAAAAAACCCCAAACACUUCACAAUUAUGACAAGAAUAAUUUGUCUAACCUAUAGCACUUUAAGACUUAGGCUAAAACUUGAUUUGAGAAGUUUCUUGGAGAGCCUUGGAUGAGGGAACAAAAGCAUCGUAAGUAGAUCCCAAAGGAAGUACACCUUAGUUCGGAUGGGUAGAAUGGACAGCUGCAUAAGAAUAUUCCAAGAGAACAUUCAUACUCGAGAUCUUUGCGAAUGAAUUGUGAUGAAGGUCAGUCUUGGUCAGAAAUCCACCCUCGUUUAAGACAGAAUUUUAAGAACGAUGCUGUAUUUAACAAGCACUACGAACCAUCUGUUACACUUGAGAGCAAAACUGGUACAUAUUAGCCCACAUUCUGAAAGCGUGAUACAGGUUUUGCCUCUAAGAAGAUAAAAGGGCAUCUCAGUAGUCAUAGCACCCCUAGUAUGGCUCUAAAUAGGAGGUAAAGGAAACCAACACAUGACCUCUUCUAAUGUCUGUCACUCUAGGUUAUAUAACAGUCCAGUGUGGCUGCCAUGUUAAGACCCUUAGGAUUUACAUGCUACUAGGCAGGAAGGGGGAUCUUCUAAAGAUGCAAGGAAAAGGGAGUGGCCAAAACCAGUGGGACUCACAGAAACCAGCAGACAAUCUCUGGAAUUUAAGGAAUAUUCAAAAGAGAACCCGCCACUGCAAAAGCAACAGCUUCCAUCAUCUGAUUAUUAUCUAAACUAUUCCUUGGUCAGCAGAUGGCCUUAUACACGGCAGCAUACCCUACAGAGUGUAUGAUGUUUCACCUUAAACCUCUGGAAUUCAUCCAUGCAGCUGUGUCCUCGCGGGUGAAGUGAAGAUGAAGUACCCGGCAUACCACAAGCCUUCCAACCAAAGAUAUCAGCCUGAGAGCACCCUGCUCAAAUCUCAGCGCCGCAUUCCGAAGAUAAUCGCGAAUCGUUUUUAUCCACGCAGAAGCGGGUUUACUGCAUUUGCAGGGUGCCGCAUCCGAGAGCCCCGGCACCAUGGAUGUUUCCUGAUAAUGCGCCAAAUGCAGAAAAACUUAUGCGAUAUCAACUUGUCCUGUAGUGUAAAUCUUAUUAAUAUGCGUGCCUGUGUUGGUUACCCCUGAAACCAUUGCCACAGAUGCAUCUGGUUCACUGUGUCACAGGAGAACCCAUUCCUGCCUCCUCUCUGACAUCAGCUUUCUUCAGGAAACCACCAGCUCUUGGCCUUCUACAAUAUGUCUUGCCUUAACUGGCCAAACCUGGCAAUGGGUCCCGAAGGAUCUUUCCCUCACCCCCUUUCUCCUCUCUCAGCCCUGAUCCAGAGAAGUGAUGGUCUCUCCUGCUCUGUGCUGGAGCUGGAGCCCUCUCCAAGGCAUCCCCCAAUGACCACCUCCUACGGCUAUUUGAUUAACAAGUUCCCUCACCCACUGCUGACAUUUUAACACCUCUGCACAUGCUCUGUCAAUGCUUUUGAGACCUGAGAGCCUUACAGGCAAGGCAGCUUGGGCCCAGGGGUGCAGCUGCUUGUGUCCUGCUUCAGAUUGGAAACACAGCCCUAUUUGGAUUCCCAUGCGAUUCAUUCAGUGCAUUUUAGCGUGCAGCAUUUUGUUCCUCUGCAUGGACCGUUUGUUUGUGUUUUUUUGCUAAACAUUGCCAUCCUACAUUUAUUUAUUUAGCUGACUCGUUU